UGUGCACCGGAAUAGCUCCUGGAAACGGGUGGUAAUACCGGAUGCUCCGCUCCAUCSCAUGGUGGGGUGGGAAAUGCUUUUGCGGCAUGGGAUGGGGUCGCGUCCUAUCAGCUUGUUGGCGGGGUGAUGGCCCACCARGGCGUUGACGGGUAGCCGGCCUGAGAGGGUGACCGGCCACAUUGGGACUGARAUCGGCCCAGACUCCUACGGGAGGCAGCAGUGGGGAAUAUUGCACAAUGGGCGMAAGCCUGAUGCAGCGACGCCGCGUGCGGGAUGGAGGCCUUCGGGUUGUAAACCGCUUUUGUUCAAGGGSAAGGCACGGUUUCGGCCGUGUUGAGUGGAUUGUUCGAAUAARCACCGGCUAACUACGUGCCAGCAGCCGCGGUAAUACGUAGGGUGCGAGCGUUAUCCGGAUUUAUUGGGCGUAAAGGGCUCGUAGGCGGUUCSUCGCGUCCGGUGUGAAAGUCCAUCGCCUAACGGUGGAUCUGCGCCGGGUACGGGSGGGCUGGAGUGCGGUAGGGGAMACUGGAAUUCCCGGUGUAACGG
This 546-nucleotide ribosomal RNA is filed under the name Bifidobacterium animalis subsp. lactis. Its description in RNAcentral is "bacterial SSU rRNA". Lineage: Bacteria; Bacillati; Actinomycetota; Actinomycetes; Bifidobacteriales; Bifidobacteriaceae. The record is from RNAcentral.